GUGGCUGUGCUCUAUUAAUGGCAGAGAAAUUUGCUGAAGUGCCACCAGCUCGGGCUGACUGAAAACCACCUGUCGGGGCCCCAAUGAAACGAGCUAGUAAUCAGCCCUCUGGGAGGUUGGGGAAACUCACUGGGAAGCCACCCUCUGAGGUGCUAGUGAGACUCUGCAGCGGCGCCAGCGAAACUUGCUGGAGCGCGAGCGCCGCUGGGCGUCCCAUAUGCUGCUUGCUUUCAAGAGCUGCCGGAGCGAAACCUGCACGCAAGAAGCAGGAAGAGCCACCUCUUCCUCCAGCGAUAUCUCUUCCACGCCCCCUGCUGACAAAGCCUCACAUUGCACCAGCCGACAAAGGGGAAAUGUUUACAUAGUUCAGCUCCUGUAUCACAAAGCAAGACAAAGAAAGGUGGAUUUGGAGCUGAGAGACACUAAAGUCAUAACGGGCGCAGAUGGUGUUUUGUGACUAUUCGAGAGAAGAAUCAGGAAGAAGAUAGUUUAUGAGGAAGAAAUGCAGAGGUGAUUACUUUUUAUGCAAUGCACAGUAGCAGAGUGAUGAAUUUGAGGACAAAAGAGACUAAUUCAUACACCAGAAUACCAAUGGAUUAAUUUGUACUAGAAGAUUUAACUGCUGUGACUAACGUUAUCACCGCGCCCGCCAGCUGAAAUUCUCCUUCCUAUUAUCAAGAUACCUGGGACUCCAACUCAAUGAUCAGAAAGUUGCUUUCUGAGAAGUACCUUGCAGAGCAAAAUCAAGUUGAAUUCACCUAAGAAUUAUUUUCAUCUUUUUGUAUUCUCCCACACAGAUUAGCAAGAAGUCUUGAUUUACCAAUUGGCUGUGUUUCAAAUGUUGAUUUCAGAUUUUUUUGGUUAGAAUUUGUAACAUUUCCCCCCAUUAAUAAUAUUACUAAGGUGGUUAAAUUCCAGCUGUUCUAUAAAAGCUUUUUUCAGCUGUAAUGUGGAUAAAACAACGUACUUUUAGAAAAAUAGUGGGAAAUGGUAGCUGUCUUAAGACUAAAAUUAAACAAAACAAACAAAUUGAAUGAAGUGGUACAUGAAAUACUCAAACAUUCUCCCCUCUUCAAUUUCACUUGUGUUAAGCUCGCCCCAAUCUGCUUUCAACACUUUUUCUCCAUCCUCAUGGCACACUGGGUACAUCUAUAAAGCGGCAUUUAUUACACUGCACUGCAAUUAUCAACUUACCUUGCUGUCUUCUUUACUAGAAGAAUCUUUUGUAAACUAUGACUUGCUAACAGAGGUUUUGAGAUGUUUUCAAAAAAGUGUUUGGAGGAUUUAAUUGUGAGUAUUAUGCAAACUAAAAGGCCUCUAGAAGGCCAAUUCAAAGAUUCAUUCUUAGUAAGGAUUUCUAGGAAAAGAGAAUGAUUAUCUAAUCUUUGCUGGAAUAUGGAAAAUAAACGUUUCGUAACAGUCACCGAGUGAGAGUCAACUGGGAGGAUGGAUGCCUGGUUUCUCAGACUAAGUCUUAAGUCCAUUAAAUCUCAUGAGAAAAUUGCUUGUGUGUUUUAUCAGGAGGGCUAAUUUCUUCCCAGAGGGAGGUCUGGAAUAAUGCUACAAAAUAGGGUUCUGUCCCAUAUCAAGUUUUGAACAAUUUUUUUUUAAAGAGAUAAUGGGGUCUUGUAUAAAU
This is a long non-coding RNA of Equus caballus (horse), 1636 nucleotides long. The record is from Ensembl. NCBI's taxonomy places the organism in Eukaryota, Metazoa, Chordata, Mammalia, Perissodactyla, Equidae.